CCAGGGCCUUGACGGGUGAAAAGGGAACCGAGUGCGAACCUCGGACGAUACCAGUCGCUGUAUGUACCCGAAUGUCACAUUCUCCGUUGACGAAAGUCAGUCAUUGGGAAACUGAGAAGGCAGGAAAUGUGACGCUUUUAUAGGGCACGAGUCAGAAGACCUGCUUUGAU
RNAcentral lists this non-coding RNA (170 nucleotides) under human gut metagenome. The record is from RNAcentral.